This 469-nucleotide ribosomal RNA is filed under the name uncultured bacterium. RNAcentral's name for it is "partial 16S ribosomal RNA". It matches the Rfam family "Bacterial small subunit ribosomal RNA", at positions 28 to 508 of the family's 1533-position model. The record is from RNAcentral.
GACGAACGCUGGCGGCGUGCUUAACACAUGCAAGUCGAACGGAAAGGCCCUGCUUUUGUGGGGUGCUCGAGUGGCGAACGGGUGAGUAACACGUGAGUAACCUGCCCUUGACUUUGGGAUAACUUCAGGAAACUGGGGCUAAUACCGGAUAGGAGCUCCUGCUGCAUGGUGGGGGUUGGAAAGUUUCGGCGGUUGGGGAUGGACUCGCGGCUUAUCAGCUUGUUGGUGGGGUAGUGGCUUACCAAGGCUUUGACGGGUAGCCGGCCUGAGAGGGUGACCGGCCACAUUGGGACUGAGAUACGGCCCCGACUCCUACGGGAGGCAGCAGUGGGGAAUAUUGCACAAUGGGCGGAAGCCUGAUGCAGCAACGCCGCGUGCGGGAUGACGGCCUUCGGGUUGUAAACCGCUUUCGCCUGUGACGAAGCGUGAGUGACGGUAAUGGGUAAAGAAGCACCGGCUGACUACGUGC